GCGGAUGUAGCUCAGUCGGUUAGAGCGUCUGAUUGUGGUCCAGAAGGUCGUGGGUUCAAUUCCCAUCAUUCGCCCCA
RNAcentral lists this transfer RNA (77 nucleotides) under Candidatus Saccharimonadota bacterium. RNAcentral's name for it is "tRNA-His". It matches the Rfam family "tRNA". From Rfam's summary of the family: Transfer RNA (tRNA) molecules are approximately 80 nucleotides in length. Their secondary structure includes four short double-helical elements and three loops (D, anti-codon, and T loops). Further hydrogen bonds mediate the characteristic L-shaped molecular structure. tRNAs have two regions of fundamental functional importance: the anti-codon, which is responsible for specific mRNA codon recognition, and the 3' end, to which the tRNAs corresponding amino acid is attached (by aminoacyl-tRNA synthetases). tRNAs cope with the degeneracy of the genetic code in two manners: having more than one tRNA (with a specific anti-codon) for a particular amino acid; and 'wobble' base-pairing, i.e. permitting non-standard base-pairing at the 3rd anti-codon position. The record is from RNAcentral. Lineage: Bacteria; Candidatus Saccharimonadota.